UACGUACUCCCUCCGUCCGAAAAUACUUGUCAUCAAAAUGGAUAAAAAAAAGAUGUAUCUAGAACUAAAAUACAUCGUCUAGAUACAUCCCUUUCUAUCCAUUUUGUUGACAAGUAUUUCAGGACGGAGGGAGUAGCAA
This is a non-coding RNA of Triticum aestivum (bread wheat), 139 nucleotides long. Lineage: Eukaryota; Viridiplantae; Streptophyta; Magnoliopsida; Poales; Poaceae. The record is from Rfam.